RNAcentral lists this ribosomal RNA (245 nucleotides) under uncultured bacterium. RNAcentral's name for it is "partial 16S ribosomal RNA". It matches the Rfam family "Bacterial small subunit ribosomal RNA", at positions 524 to 768 of the family's 1533-position model. The record is from RNAcentral.
UACGUAGGGGGCCAGCGUUGUCCGGAUUUAUUGGGCGUAAAGCGCGCGCAGGCGGUCGUGCAGGUCGUUCGUGAAAUCCUUCGGCUCAACCGGGGGGGGUCGGACGAAACCGUGCGGCUGGAGGUCGGUAGGGGGAAGCGGAAUUCCCGGUGUAGUGGUGGAAUGCGUAGAGAUCGGGAGGAACACCAGUGGCGAAGGCGGCUUCCUGGGCCGAACCUGACGCUGAGGCGCGAAAGCGUGGGGAG